RNAcentral lists this ribosomal RNA (524 nucleotides) under uncultured beta proteobacterium. Its description in RNAcentral is "bacterial SSU rRNA". It matches the Rfam family "Bacterial small subunit ribosomal RNA", at positions 9 to 527 of the family's 1533-position model. The record is from RNAcentral. Lineage: Bacteria; Pseudomonadati; Pseudomonadota; Betaproteobacteria.
GAGUUUGAUUCUGGCUCAGAUUGAACGCUGGCGGCGUGCCUUACACAUGCAAGUCGAACGGCAGCGGGCCCUUCGGGGCGCCGGCAAGUGGCGAACGGGUGAGUAACACAUCGGAACGUACCCUGUGGUGGGGGAUAACCCGUCGAAAGACGGGCUAAUACCGCAUAAGCUCUGCGGAGGAUAGCGGGGGACCGUCAAGGCCUCGCGCCACAGGAGCGGCCGAUGUCCGAUUAGCUAGUUGGUAGGGUAAAGGCCUACCAAGGCGACGAUCGGUAGCGGGUCUGAGAGGACGGCCCGCCACACUGGGACUGAGACACGGCCCAGACUCCUACGGGAGGCAGCAGUGGGGAAUCUUGGACAAUGGGGGAAACCCUGAUCCAGCAAUGCCGCGUGGGUGAAGAAGGCCUUCGGGUUGUAAAGCCCUUUUAGCAGGGAAGAAAUCGGCUGGGUGAAUAAUCUAGCUGGAUGACGGUACCUGCAGAAAAAGCACCGGCUAACUACGUGCCAGCAGCCGCGGUAAUACG